This 439-nucleotide ribosomal RNA is filed under the name uncultured bacterium. Its description in RNAcentral is "partial 16S ribosomal RNA". It matches the Rfam family "Bacterial small subunit ribosomal RNA", at positions 339 to 795 of the family's 1533-position model. The record is from RNAcentral.
CUACGGGCCGCAGCAGUAGGGAAUCUUAGACAAUGGGGGAAACCCUGAUCUAGCCAUGCCGCGUGAGUGAUGAAGGCCUUAGGGUUGUAAAGCUCUUUCGCUGGGGAAGAUAAUGACGGUACCCAGUAAAGAAACCCCGGCUAACUCCGUGCCAGCAGCCGCGGUAAUACGGAGGGGGUUAGCGUUGUUCGGAAUUACUGGGCGUAAAGCGCGCGUAGGCGGGCUAUUAAGUCAGGGGUGAAAUCCCGGGGCUCAACCCCGGAACUGCCUUUGAUACUGGUAGUCUUGAGUUCGAGAGAGGUGAGUGGAAUUCCGAGUGUAGAGGUGAAAUUCGUAGAUAUUCGGAGGAACAUCAGUGGCGAAGGCGACUCACUGGCUCGAUACUGACGCUGAGGUGCGAAAGUGUGGGGAGCAAACAGGAUUAGAUACCCCAGUAGUC